This 498-nucleotide ribosomal RNA is filed under the name uncultured bacterium. RNAcentral's name for it is "bacterial SSU rRNA". It matches the Rfam family "Bacterial small subunit ribosomal RNA", at positions 28 to 527 of the family's 1533-position model. The record is from RNAcentral.
GAUGAACGCUAGCGGCAGGCCUAACACAUGCAAGUCGAGGGGUAUAGUUCUUCGGAACUAGAGACCGGCGCACGGGUGCGUAACGCGUAUGCAAUCUACCUUUUACAGGGGAAUAGCCCAGAGAAAUUUGGAUUAAUGCCCCAUAGUGUUAUAGAAUCGCAUGGUUUUAUAACUAAAGUUCCAACGGUAAAAGAUGAGCAUGCGUCCCAUUAGUUAGUUGGUAAGGUAACGGCUUACCAAGACAAUGAUGGGUAGGGGUCCUGAGAGGGAGAUCCCCCACACUGGUACUGAGACACGGACCAGACUCCUACGGGAGGCAGCAGUGAGGAAUAUUGGACAAUGGGCGCAAGCCUGAUCCAGCCAUGCCGCGUGCAGGAAGACGGUCCUAUGGAUUGUAAACUGCUUUUGUACAGGAAGAAACACUCCCUCGUGAGGGAGCUUGACGGUACUGUAAGAAUAAGGAUCGGCUAACUCCGUGCCAGCAGCCGCGGUAAUGUA